UGGGGAAUUUUCCGCAAUGGGCGAAAGCCUGACGGAGCAAUGCCGCGUGGAGGUGGAAGGCCUACGGGUCGUCAACUUCUUUUCUCGGAGAAGAAACAAUGACGGUAUCAGAGGAAUAAGCAUCGGCUAACUCUGUGCCAA
RNAcentral lists this ribosomal RNA (141 nucleotides) under uncultured bacterium. Its description in RNAcentral is "partial 16S rRNA". It matches the Rfam family "Bacterial small subunit ribosomal RNA", at positions 355 to 511 of the family's 1533-position model. The record is from RNAcentral.